This 220-nucleotide ribosomal RNA is filed under the name uncultured bacterium. RNAcentral's name for it is "partial 16S ribosomal RNA". It matches the Rfam family "Bacterial small subunit ribosomal RNA", at positions 524 to 744 of the family's 1533-position model. The record is from RNAcentral.
UACGUAGGGGGCUAGCGUUGUCCGGAAUCAUUGGGCGUAAAGAGCGUGUAGGCGGUCCGGUAAGUCUGCUGUGAAAGUCGGGGGCUCAACCCUCGAAUGCCGGUGGAUACUGUCGGGCUAGAGUGCGGAAGAGGCGAGUGGAAUCCGUGGUGUAGCGGUGAAAUGCGCAGAUAGCAGGAGGAACACCAUGGCGAAGGCAGCUCGCUGGGACGGUACUGAC